GCUUGUCUCAAAGAUUAAGCCAUGCAUGUCUAAGUGUAAAUAAGUCUAUACUGUGAAACUGCGAAUGGCUCAUUAAAUCAGUUAUCGUUUAUUUGAUGAUCUCUUACUACUUGGAUAACCGUAGUAAUUCUAGAGCUAAUACAUGCAUUCAAGCCCCGACUUCUGGAAGGGGUGUAUUUAUUAGAUAAAAAUCAACUUUGUUGGUGAAUCAUAAUAACUUCUCGGACCGCAUGGCCUCGUGCUGGCGGUGCUUCAUUCAAAUAUCUGCCCUAUCAACUGUCGAUGGUAGGAUAGAGGCCUACCAUGGUUGCAACGGGUAACGGGGAAUAAGGGUUCGAUUCCGGAGAGGGAGCCUGAGAAACGGCUACCACAUCCAAGGAAGGCAGCAGG
This 390-nucleotide ribosomal RNA is filed under the name uncultured Exobasidiomycetes. RNAcentral describes it as "partial small subunit ribosomal RNA". It matches the Rfam family "Eukaryotic small subunit ribosomal RNA", at positions 30 to 432 of the family's 1831-position model. The record is from RNAcentral. Lineage: Eukaryota; Fungi; Basidiomycota; Exobasidiomycetes.